GGUUUCUAGAAUUCAUUUCCUUCUGUGUUGCACUUUCCUCUUUCCUUUUUGUAGAUAGAUUUGAAAAUCUUUUCUUCUUUAAUUUUCACGGCAGCCCGUCUUUUGUAGCAAUUUAUUUCCUACGUGUUUUUUCUCUCCACUCUUUGUAGAUCUAGAAACUCAAUUGAAUUUGUUCGUUUACAAGUACGAUCGCUCGUUUUCAUUGUUAUUACUGGUUGUGAAGCUUUUUUUAGUUUAGUGAAGGCUAAUUAAAGGUCGAUACAGGCCAAACUUCAUUUGUAUGAGUUCCAUCCCCCCUCCUGUACUGUACUUCAAUUCAGGAAAAGAUUGGAGAUCGACUUACUUUUGGGAAGAUGAUGUUUGUCCCAUACCUGGUACCACUAAGAUCGAGAACUUGAACCUGAAUAUUCAAGCUUUAUCUGUGAAAUUGACACCCCCCAAGAGAUGGCUAAACUCGAAUCCUUUGCUUCUGCCAACGUAGUUAAGGGCGAUAGACAUGCUUACCUGGCAAACACAUGGUUAAACUCAGAGACUCCCCCACCAUCCUCGUGGAAGCCCGAGUUUGCCAGCAGUAUGAAUUUUACAAUAACAAGAAUAUGAGCAGGAGUGUAAAGUUUGCUACCCUUUUGAUUACGUACGAGGUAUUAUUGAAAGAUAAGGUAGUACUCUCCAAAAUUAAGUGGAACUAUCUUAUGGUUGAUGAAGCACUCGAGUUGAAGAACAGUGAAGCCUCUUUGUACACAACAUUAUUGGUAUGAUGAAAUUUUGACUGAGUAUAUGCUUGGCUCAUAUAUUAUACUUCCGAGGUAGGUACAUAGUGGGGAUUAGAUAUUUUUCCACAGGAAUUCAGCACAAAGAACAGGUUGCUUAUUACUGGCACUCCCCUGCAAAACAGUGUUGAAGAGCUAUGUUGUUGGAGCACACAUUGGACCAACCUGUAAAUGUUGAAUAGCACAGGCAACAGUAGCAGAAGCAACCAUAUUUCUUCAUCUGCGCUUGACACAUAUCACCUCAGGGAUUUCACCUUCCACUAUGCAUACGGGGAGCCUUCGACUGAUUACUUCUCUCUAUGCCAUUGACAUUCUAUGUAAGAAAACUUUUUUUUCCUUCAGCGUUUUCUAUAAUUUUCUGAAUUUCUAAGAAUGUAAUAUCAUGUGUGUGUAUAUAAAAACUUUGUGCUUCUUUUGGUUUUAUAUGUUUUAUCUUUAAUUGUUACAAAUGGAAUUUGAAUUAAGACAGCACCAGCAAUAGAUCCUAUGGGUAGAUGUAAUAUUAAGACAAAUAUUUCCUACCAGCUUUGGAACCAAAUUAUGCUUCUUGGUUUUGGAGUGGCUUAACGAUGUAACGACGUGAUAUUAUUAAAGAUGAGUAAUUAGAGAUAAUUUUUGUUUAUUUAUAUUCAUUAUAUAAAUGA
Molecule: RNA transcript, 1414 nt
Organism: Olea europaea var. sylvestris
Lineage: Eukaryota; Viridiplantae; Streptophyta; Magnoliopsida; Lamiales; Oleaceae
Gene name: protein CHROMATIN REMODELING 5-like
Exons: 3
Source: RefSeq, a predicted model, not a curated record